CAGCCGCCGCGGUAAUACGUAGGGUGCAAGCGUUAAUCGGAAUUACUGGGCGUAAAGCGUGCGCAGGCGGUUAUAUAAGACAGAUGUGAAAUCCCCGGGCUCAACCUGGGACCUGCAUUUGUGACUGUAUAGCUAGAGUACGGUAGAGGGGGAUGGAAUUCCGCGUGUAGCAGUGAAAUGCGUAGAUAUGCGGAGGAACACCGAUGGCGAAGGCAAUCCCCUGGACCUGUACUGACGCUCAUGCACGAAAGCGUGGGGAGCGAACAGGAUUAGAUACCCGCGUAGUCCCUGUCUCUUAUAC
This 301-nucleotide ribosomal RNA is filed under the name uncultured bacterium. RNAcentral describes it as "partial 16S ribosomal RNA". It matches the Rfam family "Bacterial small subunit ribosomal RNA", at positions 509 to 807 of the family's 1533-position model. The record is from RNAcentral.